AUUCCAGGAAUGUACUACCAAAGUUCUAUCAAUAUUUGAAUGUCCUGGACAUUUAGGGAACAUUCGGUGAACAUCUGAUUAAAUUAUUCCUGGAAUGUUACCAUAAGACAUUCUGUGAACAUACUACCAAUGUUCCUAUAUUUUAAGUUGCGAAAUAAUACAUACGUGUAAGAGAUACAACAUUACUUAUAACAUACCAGACAAACUAAGUGACAUUUUAGGCCUACAGUGCAAUAAUAUGUCAAAUUUAAAGAGUUUCCCAAGUUCAAUGAAUACAAUAUUAUAAACAUACAAAUGUAAUAAAAAUUAUUGUUCGCGAAUAUUCAAUUUGGAAUGCGAUUUUGUUAAUAAAAAAAAUACUUAUAACUUAUGCAAAACCCAAGCGAGGCAUUUAUAUUUAUUUCUUUUGCGUUCAUUUUCAAAUUCGCCGUGCAUAUAUUUUUGUGCAUGGCGCUUGAGAGGGCAUCACGUGACUAAAAACGACCAACCAACGACCUCGCUUCGGCCAUCUUGGCAUCUUCAUCUUGGCGACCUUGCCGUUGCCCGGCCUUGCCUUGCCGUGGAUUGUUGUUUGUAUUUUGUAUUAUUUGUGCUUUUUAAGAAUAUUUUUUUAAUUCGGAUACUUUUAUAAUAGCUUUAAUAGUAUUAUUAACAUAGUGCAUAAAAUGGUGUCCUGUUUUUAACGCAGUUGGAGUAGCAGAAACAAAUGUAGAUAAAAAAAUCUGCAGGAAUAACGUUUCAAUUAUGACAGAAGCUCAAAACAAAUGACUGUGAAUGAAAAGCCCUAUUAAAAGCUUUCCAGAAGAUCCUGCGAAGAAGACAAGAAAGUAUAGAUUAGAUUUGUUAAUAGAGGAGUAUGUUCAAAACACUUUUUAGAAAAAGAUAUUGACAGAACUUCACUUUCAUCUGUUCGUUUGAGAGACUGUGCUGUUCCAAUAGCUUAUGUCACACAGAAUCAGCUGAGAGAAGUGGUCUACAAAAAACCAGAAAGGAAACGGAAUAUGUGGCUACGAAAAGCAAAAGAAAGGUUUACAAAGCAAAUGUGACACAUUUUUUUAUAAUAUUUAGGAAUGUCAGCAAAUUACAUUAAAAAAUGUAUGUAAAGAUUUUUUGCAAUAAAAAUGUUUAUAUUUA
Diabrotica virgifera virgifera (western corn rootworm) is the source of this 1134-nucleotide long non-coding RNA. RefSeq lists it as uncharacterized. The transcript is spliced from 3 exons. The record is from RefSeq and is a predicted model, not a curated record. NCBI's taxonomy places the organism in Eukaryota, Metazoa, Arthropoda, Insecta, Coleoptera, Chrysomelidae.